CACAUGUGACGAGUUUUGAUCCUGGCUCAGAUUGAACGCUGGCGGCAUGGCUAAAACAUGCAAGUCGAACGAUCCCUUCGGGGAGAGUGGCGAAAGGGCGAGGAAUAGAAUCGAAUGUACCCCAAGGUGGGGGAUAGCCUCUGGAAACGGAGGGUAAUACCCCAUGUGCUCUACGGAGGAAAGGUUUACCGCCUUGGGAGCAGCGAUUCUCCUAUCAGGUAGUUGGUGAGGUAACGGCUCACCAAGCCGAAGACGGGUAGCGGGUGUGAGAGCAUGACCCGCCGCAUCGGGACUGAGACACUGCCCGGACUCCUACGGGAGGCUGCAGUAACGAAUCUUCCGCAAUGGGCGAAAGCCUGACGGAGCAAUGCCGCGUGUGGGAUGAAGCAUCUUCGAUGUGUAAACCACUGUCAGGGUCUAGGAAUACUGACCAGACCCAAAGGAAGGCCGGCUAAUUCCGUG
RNAcentral lists this ribosomal RNA (462 nucleotides) under uncultured bacterium. RNAcentral describes it as "bacterial SSU rRNA". It matches the Rfam family "Bacterial small subunit ribosomal RNA", at positions 1 to 507 of the family's 1533-position model. The record is from RNAcentral.